ACCCAGGGGGGACGCCAAGGGAGCAGGACGGAGCCAUGGACCCCGCCAGGAAAGCAGGUGCCCAGGCCAUGAUCUGGACUGCAGGCUGGCUGCUGCUGCUGCUGCUUCGCGGAGGAGCGCAGGCCCUGGAGUGCUACAGCUGCGUGCAGAAAGCAGAUGACGGAUGCUCCCCGAACAAGAUGAAGACAGUGAAGUGCGCGCCGGGCGUGGACGUCUGCACCGAGGCCGUGGGGGCGGUGGAGACCAUCCACGGACAAUUCUCGCUGGCAGUGCGGGGUUGCGGUUCGGGACUCCCCGGCAAGAAUGACCGCGGCCUGGAUCUUCACGGGCUUCUGGCGUUCAUCCAGCUGCAGCAAUGCGCUCAGGAUCGCUGCAACGCCAAGCUCAACCUCACCUCGCGGGCGCUCGACCCGGCAGGUCCGUGGGGGCGGGGCCGUAGCUGCGGGGGCGGAGCCACAUUCGGGCCUGCCAAGAUGGAGGUGGAGCCGUGGCAGAGGCGGGAGUACUCGACCUGGGCUGGGGGUGGGGUCACACUCUGGGGCGGGGCCAAGAGGCAGCAGGAGGGACUUUCUGGCUGUAGGCGCCGCGAGGUUGCGCGCUGGGGCGGGGCUACUAGUAGGCGGGGUCAUCGAUAGUGCGGGGGCCAGGCCUUAGGGGCGGGGCUAGAGGACGAGCUGCGGUUCCCGAACCUUUUUGACACCUUUUCUUCCUCUCGGCUCCCCUCGCAGGUAAUGAGAGUGCAUACCCGCCCAACGGCGUGGAGUGCUACAGCUGUGUGGGCCUGAGCCGGGAGGCGUGCCAGGGUACAUCGCCGCCGGUCGUGAGCUGCUACAACGCCAGCGAUCAUGUCUACAAGGGCUGCUUCGACGGCAACGUCACCUUGACGGCAGCUAAUGUGACUGUGUCCUUGCCUGUCCGGGGCUGUGUCCAGGAUGAAUUCUGCACUCGGGAUGGAGUAACAGGCCCAGGGUUUACGCUCAGUGGCUCCUGUUGCCAGGGGUCCCGCUGUAACUCUGAUCUCCGCAACAAGACCUACUUCUCCCCUCGAAUCCCACCCCUUGUCCGGCUGCCCCCUCCAGAGCCCACGACUGUGGCCUCAACCAUAUCUGUGGCCUCAACCACAUCUGUCACCACUUCUACCUCGGCCCCAGUGAGACCCACAUCCACCACCAAACCCAUGCCAGCGCCAACCAGUCAGACUCCGAGACAGGGAGUAGAACACGAGGCCUCCCGGGAUGAGGAGCCCAGGUUGACUGGAGGCGCUGCUGGCCACCAGGACCGCAGCAAUUCAGGGCAGUAUCCUGCAAAAGGGG
RNAcentral lists this small RNA (1313 nucleotides) under Pan troglodytes (chimpanzee). Its description in RNAcentral is "retained intron". The record is from RNAcentral. Lineage: Eukaryota; Metazoa; Chordata; Mammalia; Primates; Hominidae.